Molecule: long non-coding RNA, 4927 nt
Organism: Mobula hypostoma (lesser devil ray)
Lineage: Eukaryota; Metazoa; Chordata; Chondrichthyes; Myliobatiformes; Myliobatidae
Exons: 3
Source: RefSeq, a predicted model, not a curated record
AAAGCUUCAUAUAAAAUAUAUAUUAAUUCUCUUUUGCCUUCCCUUACCCUCCACAGUACCUCAUCUGGAGUGUCUGUUAAGGGUACCCCUUUUCAUGUACACUUGGAAAUAUCCAAUGCUUUACAAAUAUUCCUGAUAUACUGGCUACCCCACAGAAAUGCACGUUUCAAUUAGAUCACCUCUUACUUCUAACAAAUGAGUAUCAAACACACUUAUUUUACGUUUCCUCAGGAAUCGUCCCAGCGAAUAUUUCACUUAUUUUCUCUGAGCAAAUUGAAAUGUUAUGAACAGUAUCAUUGCAGCUUUGUAACUGCAGGUACCUGCAGCUGUUCACUCGGACAGAUACUGCCACAAAGUAAUGACUGUCAAUCUUGAACGGCAGACAUAAAAGUAUCCUUCUGGAUAAUUUCUUCUGUUAGUAUUACUCAUUACCUGCUCUUACACAAUGUUGGCUCACCUCUUCCAGUCUAUUUGUGUCUCUCGGACCCAAGAGGACAUUUUCCCUGCAGGUUUAUAUGACAGUGCAAUCUCACAAUAUGGCGGUACUGAAUAGUUCUUUGUAUAAUUGCACCCGACACUGAAGCUGGCCUCCUGAAUUGCAGUCCAGACAUUUGCUUGGUUGAACAGCGACACUCCAAGUUUCUAUUACUAGGGAACCAAAGGUUAGGGCUCCUACCAAUGAUACCUCUUUAUAUUGUCUAACACUCUAUGCCAGGGAUGGCCAACCUACGGCGCAUGCGGCAAAAGUGACACAUCGGAUGAUUAGAAGUGAAGCAUUGCACCCCAGUGAUAAUAACAAAAAAGUAAGCCUACUCAUGCAAAAAGUAUUAACCAAAAACCAAUUUGUAGAAAAAAAAUCUAUAACAGGAAUUUAAGUAGCUUAGAGCUAGAAAUGGGUUUUAUUGAGAAUAAAUCUAAACCUUAGCAAUUAUUUUUAGUGAUUUUAUUAUUUCGUGCACAUCUUUUGGCGAAUGUUAUCUUCUUUGACAUUAAUCUGUUUUCAAUUUUAAAAAAGUGUUCAAUGAGUCAAACUAGGAAAGAAGGACUUUUGUUCUGUAGUUGUUCCAUAACUGUUCAAUGCACGUUUGAUACUUGUUUGAUCCUGAGGCGCCAAGCAUCUGCACUAGCGGUGCAUCGCAGGUUUUCGCCACUCAGUUUACAACUGACACUCGUGUGCUACAGAGUUGUGCUUUGUUUGUCCUCUGUGAACAUUUGCAGUUUUGAACUUUUUCGAAAAUUAAGCCUUGUUUUUACAUUCAGUUACCUAUCACGGUGGAAAAGAAAAUGAGCAAAAGAAAAGCAGAAAGUGAUAGUAAGUGUGAAUUCAACGAACAGUGGGAAAAUGGGUUCUUAUUUAUAGCGGGUCCGUCAGGAAAAUCGUUGUGCAUUGUUUGUGAAAACACUUUCUCACAUAAUAGAUGACAUAAUCUUAAUAGACACUAUAAAACACAACAUCAGACUGAAAUAGAAGGAAAACUGAAGCCUGUGCUUGGGUCUGAGUUAUGGAAAGAAUAUGUGAUUAAGAAAAAGGAAGAAAUCAAAAGAAGACAAAAUAUAUUUGUUAAAACAAGUUGUGAAAGUUUGGCGAUGACAGAAACGUCCUACGAAAUUGCUUUAGCGUUGGCCAAAAAACGGAAGUCUUUCUCUGAUGGAGAAGAAAUUGUUAAGCCUUAUCUCCAAAUAUUUGCAAGAUGUCUUGGUGAUAAAAAUAUCAAAAGGAAAGUAGAUGAAAUUGCUCUUUCAAAGCAACCAAUUACAAGACAUAUCGAAGAACUCUGUCAUGAUGUAUCUGAGAAACUGAAAGACCUUGUCCAUGCUUGUACUUUCUUUUCUUUAGCUUUGGACAAAUCUGCUGACAUAUGUGAUGUAGCCGAGUUAAGCACUUUUAUAAGUGGAAUUGAUCAUUUUAGUGUCAUUGAAGAACUUAUAGUCUUGAGUCGCUUCAUGGAAAAACAAAAAGAUCAGACAUAGUCAUAGUCGUUGUCAUACUUUAUUGAUCCUGAGGGGAAAUUGGUUUUCGUUACAGUUGCUCCAUAAAUAAUUAAAUAGUAAUAAAACCAUAAAUAGUUAAAUAGUAAUAUGUAAAUUAUGCCAGGAAAUAUGUCCAAGACCAGCCCAUUGGCUCAGGGUGUCUGACCCUCCAAGGGAGGAGUUGUAAAGUUUGAUGGCCACAGGCAGGAAUGACUUCCUAUGACGUUCUGUGUUGCAUCUCGGUGAAAUGAGUCUCUGGCUGAAUGUACUCCUGUGCCCAACCAGUACAUUAUGUAGUGGAUGGGAGACAUUGUCCAAGAUGGCAUGCAACUUGGACAGCAUCCUCUUUUCAGACACCACCGUCAGAGAGUCAGAUAUUUGACAAAGUAAAAUCAUGCCUAGUAAAUCUACAACUAGAUUCUAGUAAACUCAUCGGUGUUUGUACUGAUGGAACGCCAUCAAUGAUAGGUAAAGCCGAUGAGACUACAACUUUGCUUGAAAACUUUUUAGGUUGUCCUCUACAAAAGUAUCACUGGAUUAUACAUCAAGUGUUACUGUGUGGAAAAACUUUAAAUUUGCAGCAUGUUAUGUUACUGGUUGUGAAAUGCAUGAAUAAAAUUAGAGCAAGAGGAUUAAACAGAUGAGAAUUCAGAGAAUACUGUGAAUGGUUAGAUUUGGAAUAUGGCGACCUCGUCCUUCAUUGCGAGGUGUGCUGGCUUUCUAAAGGACAGGUUCUGAGAAGAUUUUGGAAACUGAAAAAUACUGUUCAUAAUUUUCUGGAAGAGAAAAAUGAGCUGCUUGAGGAAAGAGCCCUUUUAUGUGAUAAUAAUUGGCUAUUUGAUUUAGCAUUUUUAGUUGAUGUUACCAGCCAUCUCAAUGAUCUAAAUUUGAAACUCCAGGGCAAGAACAAAUUGUUUCUAGUUUAGUAAAUGAUAUCAAUGAAUUCAAGAUGAAGUUAAAACUGUUCACUUCUCAGUUAGAAAAUGAGGAUUUGAGCCAGUUUCUGCACUUAAAAGAGCAGAGUGAAUGUGCUGAAGAUAAUGGCAAUUUUACAAAAUAUAUUGAAAAAAUCAGGUUAUUGCAAGAGUCAUUUAAAAGUCAUUUUCGUGAUUUUGCUAAAGAAGACUGCAUUCUUGCAUUUAUAAACCCACUUUCAAUUAGUUAACAAAAAAAUCAUGGAGAUGCCUAGUAACGUACAAAUGGAACUUAUUGACUUGAAAACAAAUUCAUUAUUGAACAUGAAAUUUGAUGAGCUUCCCUCAGUCCCAAAUGCUUCUGACAUGAUUAAUUUCUGGCGAUCAUUACCCUGUGAACAGUUUCCAGAACUAAGAAAAUUUGCCCAGAGCUGUCGUUUCAGAACGAUGUACAGAUGUGAACAAGUAUUUUCAGCCAUGAGAUUGAUUAAAAACAAAACUACAUCAUGAUUGACUGAUUCAAAUUUGAAGAAUUCUCUGCUGCUCUCAGUAACUAAUUUAACUCCAAACAUUAAAAGCUUGGCGAAAUCAAAACAGACUCAAAAGUUUCAUUAAGCACAGAUAUCUAAGACCAGUGGACAUAAAUUGAAGGUGAAGAUCAACUGAUUUAGAGGGGAUCUUGAGGAAAUUUUUUUCACUCCGACAGACAUUGUAAUCUGAGACAAAACACCUAACAAAGUAGUGAAUCAGGUUCUUUUGAAGACCCAGACCUGGAGUUACACGCAGAUUUCGGUUCUUUGCGGGAAUGGGACCCGCUCUCAGGGUUUCACGACUGUCCAUUGUUCGAUAUGCCAAGGAUGCGACCUAGGAGAUUAGCUCGCCUUUGGAUUUUCAGGAUCUCGAGGCUCUGAAGGCGGGCGAACUCGAGGUUGGUGCCUCUGCAGGAAUUCAGUGUGUCGUGGGAGAUGGAAGAUCAAAAGCAGCAAGCUGGCUGCUGGCUGUGUGCCAAGAGACCUGAGUUCUUUGGACAGAGAGCUCAGAAAAACAACACAAUGGACUUCUAACGUCAUAAAUCAGCCAGUUAUUUGUUACGUCUCCCCUCCCACUGUGAAACGGAGACACCUCUUUUUCCUUUAUUAGGGAGAGAGAGAGCCUGUGGUAUGUUGAAUACCAGGUGAAUGAGUUGUCUUUGGGGUGCUCCAAGUCUGUGUCUUUGCUGUUGCUUUGCUGCAUGCUUGAGUGCUCAGUGGUGGGUGCCGAUGCUCUUUUUUGCUGGUGGGGGAGGGGGGAUUGUUGCUUUGCUGCCGCUUACACAUGGGAGGGGGGAGCUGGGGAGCAGUGGGGUUCUAACAUUUAUCUGUCAUUCAUUCUUUGGGGCACUCCUCUGUUUUCGUGGACGGUUGCAAAGAAAAAGUAUUUCAGAAUGUAUAUGAUAUACAUUUCUCUGACAUUAACUGUACCUUUGAAACCUUUGAAAAUUUUAACAUUGUAUUUUAACUGGUAUUUUUAACUUAUCAUUUCCACAAUAUAUUCUGUUAGACUCCACCUUCUGGUGGCAAAACAAUAGACUAGUUAUGUAAAGAUGAGAAAAUCUACAGAUGCUGGAAAUCCAAGCAACAAAAUGCUGGAGGAACUCAGCAGGGCAGGCAGCCUCUAUGGAAAAGAGUGAACAGUUGAUAUUUUGGGCUGAGACCCAUUAUCAGUUACAUAACGGUUUAUCACCUUUUCAUUUUUCACUGGCUAAGUGUUAAACAUGCUAUGUCUGUGUCUUUCAUUAAUCCUUUGUUUACCUCAGGAAUGUGGCUUUAGCUCAGUAUAAAAGUGUCAGUCUCUGCAAAAAUCGUCACCUUGUCUUUGGCUUUAGUAUCCUGCAUUUGUCUUUUUCUGAGGUUUCUACCUUUAAUUUCAUAUGCUCUGUAUUCGUUUCUUUGUUUAAGCUUUAAAUAAAUGAUCGUGAAGCAACAAGUUUUCACUCAUUCUUGGAGUCCUAAAAGGAUCUGUGGAUCGAAAAAUCAUGAGCUCCUUCAUACUUUACAAAAGGC